This 870-nucleotide ribosomal RNA is filed under the name Prochlorococcus sp. scB241_529B19. RNAcentral's name for it is "bacterial SSU rRNA". It matches the Rfam family "Bacterial small subunit ribosomal RNA", at positions 609 to 1478 of the family's 1533-position model. The record is from RNAcentral. Lineage: Bacteria; Bacillati; Cyanobacteriota; Cyanophyceae; Synechococcales; Prochlorococcaceae.
UUAACUCCAUCAUGGCAGUGGAAACUGAAAGGCUUGAGUAUGGUAGGGGCAGAGGGAAUUCCCGGUGUAGCGGUGAAAUGCGUAGAUAUCGGGAAGAACACCAGUGGCGAAGGCGCUCUGCUGGGCCAUUACUGACGCUCAUGGACGAAAGCCAGGGGAGCGAAAGGGAUUAGAUACCCCUGUAGUCCUGGCCGUAAACGAUGAACACUAGGUGUCGGGGGAAUCGACCCCUUCGGUGUCGUAGCUAACGCGUUAAGUGUUCCGCCUGGGGAGUACGCACGCAAGUGUGAAACUCAAAGGAAUUGACGGGGGCCCGCACAAGCGGUGGAGUAUGUGGUUUAAUUCGAUGCAACGCGAAGAACCUUACCAGGGUUUGACAUCCUGCGAACCUCUUAGAAAUUUGAGGGUGCCUUCGGGAAUGCAGUGACAGGUGGUGCAUGGCUGUCGUCAGCUCGUGUCGUGAGAUGUUGGGUUAAGUCCCGCAACGAGCGCAACCCACGUUUUUAGUUGCCAGCAUUUAGUUGGGCACUCUAGAAAGACCGCCGGUGAUAAACCGGAGGAAGGUGUGGAUGACGUCAAGUCAUCAUGCCCCUUACACCCUGGGCUACACACGUACUACAAUGCUACGGACAAAGGGCAGCAAACUCGCGAGAGCUAGCAAAUCCCAUAAACCGUGGCUCAGUUCAGAUCGUAGGCUGCAACUCGCCUACGUGAAGUAGGAAUCGCUAGUAAUCGCAGGUCAGCAUACUGCGGUGAAUACGUUCCCGGGCCUUGUACACACCGCCCGUCACACCAUGGAAGUUGGCCAUGCCCGAAGUCGUUACUCCAACCCUUGUGGAGGAGGACGCCGAAGGUGGGGCUAAUGACUGG